RNAcentral lists this unclassified non-coding RNA (345 nucleotides) under soil metagenome. Its description in RNAcentral is "partial contains 5.8S ribosomal RNA, internal transcribed spacer 2, and large subunit ribosomal RNA". The stretch from base 1 to 119 matches the Rfam family "5.8S ribosomal RNA", at positions 35 to 154 of the family's 154-position model. The record is from RNAcentral.
GAUGAAGAACGUAGCGAAAUGCGAUACGUAAUGUGAAUUGCAAAUUCAGUGAAUCAUCGAGUCUUUGAACGCACAUUGCGCCCCCUGGUAUUCCGGGGGGCAUGCCUGUCCGAGCGUCAUUGCUGCCCUCAAGCCCGGCUUGUGUGUUGGGCCCCGUCCUCCGAUUCCGGGGGACGGGCCCGAAAGGCAGCGGCGGCACCGCGCCCGGUCCUCGAGCGUAUGGGGCUUUGUCACCCGCUCUGUAGGCCCGGCCGGCGCUUGCCGAUCAACCCAAAUUUUUAUCCAGGUUGACCUCGGAUCAGGUAGGGAUACCCGCUGAACUUAAGCAUAUCAAUAAGCGGAGGA